AGAACUAAUGACCCGAUGGGUGGAAUGAUAGGGUAACGCCUUGAAACGCCCACACUGAUACUCCGACUGGCGCUGAUGAAGCAAAUAAAUCUGUGUCAGAAGCUCGGUAAAGUCGGCAGAGAGCAACCGUAAAUCAUAAUCAAUGAUACGAAACCUGUCCAGAGGUGGACGGCGUUGCCUAUAUGCCGGGUGUCU
This 195-nucleotide non-coding RNA is filed under the name human gut metagenome. The record is from RNAcentral.